Argentina anserina (silverweed cinquefoil) is the source of this 629-nucleotide long non-coding RNA. RefSeq lists it as uncharacterized. The transcript is spliced from 2 exons. The record is from RefSeq and is a predicted model, not a curated record. Lineage: Eukaryota; Viridiplantae; Streptophyta; Magnoliopsida; Rosales; Rosaceae.
AGCAUUUUUCACCAAACAGAACGAGUCUUUUGACUCGGCCUCCUCCCUUCGCGACUCAACAACGGCGCGCCAACCCGACGAUCUUCCUCCGCCGUCGUCGCCGAUCUGACCAAUGCAGAACCUCCGUCUGGAACUCCUCGGCGUCGGCUGCAUCUUCACAGCUCCAGUUUUUCCGAUCAGCUGCAGUGGAAGGAGAAAUCACAGUGAACGGUAAUCGGCCUCCCUGGCUUCUCUUGGCUCGAUUCUUGUCUUCUUGGCGUUUGUGAUUGAUGAAGGAGAAGUCAGCAGCGAGUUCUUGCCUAUCUGUGUUCAUUGAGGAAACUUCUGCUAAUUUGGAUUCAAAUAAACGUGAAGCCGGUUUGAAGGAACUGAGGACUGCCAGUUUGGAGAUAUCAAUUCUUUGUUGAGGCUAAAUUGUAGAAAGGAGCAAUUCUGCCUUUCAAGGUAAAUUGCAGCCUUGAAUUCCAGUGAAUUUAAUUGUAUGGCUGCUGUGAUUAUUGUUCUUGUAUUGGGAAUUCCCUAUGUACUGUGAAGUUUGGUUGUGUCUCUGUAAUUGGAUUUAGUACCAUAUUAUGAAUUAGUUCAGUUCCUCGAAUUGAUUGAACUGAAACUAUGAGUUGAUUUCAGUU